This 274-nucleotide ribosomal RNA is filed under the name uncultured bacterium. RNAcentral describes it as "partial 16S ribosomal RNA". It matches the Rfam family "Bacterial small subunit ribosomal RNA", at positions 523 to 796 of the family's 1533-position model. The record is from RNAcentral.
AUACGGGGGAUGCAAGCGUUAUUCGGAAUCAUUGGGCGUAAAGGGCACGCAGGCGGUUCUGUCAGUCAGAUGUGAAAGCCCGGGGCUUAACCCCGGACGUGCAUUUGAAACAGCAGGACUUGAGUAUGGUAGAGGAAAGCGGAAUUCCUGGUGUAGAGGUGAAAUUCGCAGAUAUCAGGAGGAACACCGGUGGCGAAGGCGGCUUUCUGUACCAAAACUGACGCUGAGGUGCGAAGGCGUGGGUAGCGAACAGGAUUAGAAACCCUAGUAGUCC